UACGUAGGUGGCGAGCGUUAUCCGGAAUGAUUGGGCGUAAAGGGUGCGCAGGCGGUCCUGCAAGUCUGGAGUGAAACGUAUGAGCUCAACUCAUGCAUGGCUCUGGAAACUGGGAGACUUGAGUGCAGAAGAGGAGAGUGGAACUCCAUGUGUAGCGGUGAAAUGCGUAGAUAUAUGGAAGAACACCAGUGGCGAAGGCGGCCGCCUGGCCUGUUGCUGACGCUGAGGCACGAAAGCGUGGGGAGCAAAUAGG
Molecule: ribosomal RNA, 253 nt
Filed under: uncultured Allobaculum sp.
Lineage: Bacteria; Bacillati; Bacillota; Erysipelotrichia; Erysipelotrichales; Erysipelotrichaceae
Description: partial 16S ribosomal RNA
Rfam family: Bacterial small subunit ribosomal RNA
Source: RNAcentral